This is a long non-coding RNA of Rosa chinensis, 1074 nucleotides long. RefSeq lists it as uncharacterized. The transcript has 4 exons. The record is from RefSeq and is a predicted model, not a curated record. NCBI's taxonomy places the organism in Eukaryota, Viridiplantae, Streptophyta, Magnoliopsida, Rosales, Rosaceae.
UCUUUAGGUAAAACAAACGUCAAUAUCUCUUUCUCUCUCGCCGUCUGUCUCUCCUCGACGACAUGAACGAUGACAGUAGCUCUUGUCUCUCCUCUCACCAGCACCGGCAGCACUUUGCAGUCCCAAUCCCAACAUCUCUCUCUUCUCUCCUCCAAUCUGUCCCUCUCUCUCUCCCCUUCGAUCGGUGAAAACUCGGAAGGAAAUGGCUUGCACCUCAUCUUCUGAAAGGAGCUUGAGUUCGAUGGAGAGCGAGACUCGAAAGGACAUGGACAUGGAUAUUAGGGAAUGGCUUGCACCUCAUCUUCUUAAAUUUCCAGAAUUCUUCCAGUCUUCAUCUAGUCUAUAGUACUGUUCUAGACUUUAGUUUAUUAUAAAUGUUUUGGCAUUUCUAAUAGUCUUCAGGAGUUCUUUUUGAAGACUAUCGUGAGGUUGUUUCUCAAAACAAUGAACCUUGGUCUCUUAUCGGAGAUUUCAAUAAUAUUUGCGAACUGAGGAGAAAAUUGGGGUAACUCCCCUUUUAAUUGUUAUAUGCAUAAUAUCUGUUCUGGAAAUUGGUCUCUUGGCAUUUACUUUUAUUAUUUUUUCUCAGGUGGAUUCUUUUCUCUCGUGUAUUAAUAGUAUUAUACAUGUUUGAUUCAUGCAGGAUUAACAGAGUCUACAAGUUGUCUUUCUUUAAUAAGGUUAUUAAAGAAAGACAAGGAUGCAUUCAUUAAAAUUUCUGCAGCGGGAAUUAAAUGCCAUUGAGAAGGACAAGGAUGCAUUCAUUGACGACUUUUAUAAGGAGGACUACAAUGACAUGGUGGAUGGAAGGCAAAGAUGGUUAGGACUAACUCUGGAGAGCAGAAGUGGGGCCUCUUCAUUGCCAAUAAUAAAUGGUUAUUAUACGUCAAGUUUUGCAUAUGCAGAUGCAAAAUUGUACUCGAGUUAGAUAUGCAUUUCAGAUAAACAUUGUAUUCAGUUGAUGAUGUGUUGUGCUUUAGACGGUCUUAUCUUAAACUAUGUCGAUGUCCUAUUAGUGUUUGAACUUUUGCCAUCUAUAAUAAUGGAAUUGGGGUUUGUUUUUGCUCAUUUGUA